This 497-nucleotide ribosomal RNA is filed under the name uncultured bacterium. Its description in RNAcentral is "partial 16S ribosomal RNA". It matches the Rfam family "Bacterial small subunit ribosomal RNA", at positions 28 to 507 of the family's 1533-position model. The record is from RNAcentral.
GAUGAACGCUGGCGGCGUGCCUAAUACAUGCAAGUCGAGCGAACAGACGAGGAGCUUGCUCCUCUGACGUUAGCGGCGGACGGGUGAGUAACACGUGGAUAACCUACCUAUAAGACUGGGAUAACUUCGGGAAACCGGAGCUAAUACCGGAUAACAUGUUGAACCGCAUGGUUCAACAGUGAAAGACGGUCUUGCUGUCACUUAUAGAUGGAUCCGCGCCGCAUUAGCUAGUUGGUAAGGUAACGGCUUACAAAGGCAACGAUGCGUAGCCGACCUGAGAGGGGGAUCGGCCACACUGGAACUGAGCCACGGUCCAGACUCCUACGGGAGGCAGCAGUAGGGAAUCUUCCGCAAUGGGCGAAAGCCUGACGGAGCAACGCCGCGUGAGUGAAGAAGGUCUUCGGAUCGUAAAACUCUGUUAUUAGGGAAGAACAAAUGUGUAAGUAACUAUGCACGUCUUGACGGUACCUAAUCAGAAAGCCACGGCUAACUACGUG